AACGAACGCUGGCGGCAUGCCUAACACAUGCAAGUCGAACGAGACCUUCGGGUCUAGUGGCGCACGGGGGCGUACGGCGUGGGAACCUGCCCGUAGGUUCGGAAUAACUCCCCGAAGGGGGUGCUAAUACCGGAUAAGGUCAUAGGACCAAAGAUUUAUCGCUGUUGGCUGGGCCCGCGUUGGAUUAGCUAGUUGGUAGGGGAAAAGCCGGGCAAGGAGACGUUGCUUAGCUGGUCGGGGAAGAUGACAAGCCACACUGGGAAUGAGACACGGACCAGACCGGUAGGGGAGGCAGCAGUGGGGAGUAUUGGACGCGGGGGGAAAGCGUGACAACGCCACGCCGGGUGAGUGAUGAAGGGCUUAGGGUUGCAAAGCUCUUUUACCCGGGAUGAUAAUGACAGUAACGGGAGAAUAAGCACCGGCUAACUCCGUG
RNAcentral lists this ribosomal RNA (433 nucleotides) under uncultured bacterium. RNAcentral describes it as "partial 16S ribosomal RNA". It matches the Rfam family "Bacterial small subunit ribosomal RNA", at positions 29 to 507 of the family's 1533-position model. The record is from RNAcentral.